This 416-nucleotide ribosomal RNA is filed under the name Microbacterium sp. NASA2-22. RNAcentral's name for it is "bacterial SSU rRNA". It matches the Rfam family "Bacterial small subunit ribosomal RNA", at positions 1054 to 1467 of the family's 1533-position model. Lineage: Bacteria; Bacillati; Actinomycetota; Actinomycetes; Micrococcales; Microbacteriaceae. The record is from RNAcentral.
GUCAGCUCGUGUCGUGAGAUGUUGGGUUAAGUCCCGCAACGAGCGCAACCCUCGUUCUAUGUUGCCAGCACGUAAUGGUGGGAACUCAUGGGAGACUGCCGGGGUCAACUCGGAGGAAGGUGGGGACGACGUCAAAUCAUCAUGCCCCUUAUGUCUUGGGCUUCACGCAUGCUACAAUGGCCGGUACAAAGGGCUGCAAUACUGUGAGGUGGAGCGAAUCCCAAAAAGCCGGUCUCAGUUCGGAUUGAGGUCUGCAACUCGACCUCAUGAAGUCGGAGUCGCUAGUAAUCGCAGAUCAGCAACGCUGCGGUGAAUACGUUCCCGGGUCUUGUACACACCGCCCGUCAAGUCAUGAAAGUCGGUAACACCUGAAGCCGGUGGCCUAACCCUUGUGGAGGGAGCUGUCGAAGGUGGGA